GAUGAAUGCUAGCGGCGUGCUUGAGAUAUGCAAGUCGAGCGCCCCUUUUUGCCGCAAGGUGAGAAGGGAGCGGCGGACGGCUGAGUAAUAUACAGGAACCUGCCCCUAGGUAGAGGAUAGCCCAGCGAAAGUUGGGGUAAUACUUUAUGGUGUCCCGCUCUGCGGGACUAAAGAGCUUAACUGCUCGCCAAGGGAUGGGCCUGUAUCCUAUCAGGUAGUUGGUAAGGUAAUGGCUUACCAAGCCUAUGACGGGUAGCUGAUCUUAGAGGAUGAUCAGCCAGAGGGGGACUGAGACACGGCCCCCACUCCUACGGGAGGCAG
RNAcentral lists this ribosomal RNA (321 nucleotides) under uncultured Microgenomates group bacterium. Its description in RNAcentral is "bacterial SSU rRNA". It matches the Rfam family "Bacterial small subunit ribosomal RNA", at positions 28 to 351 of the family's 1533-position model. The record is from RNAcentral.